Molecule: long non-coding RNA, 3152 nt
Filed under: Ananas comosus (pineapple)
Lineage: Eukaryota; Viridiplantae; Streptophyta; Magnoliopsida; Poales; Bromeliaceae
Description: long non-coding RNA (ACOM_LNC040844)
Source: RNAcentral
CUUGUAAAGUAUGAUAGUAAGAGGUUUUGGUCUUAUCCUGCUCAAAAGAUCAAGUGAUAGUGAUUAAAUCGGUAUUUCGAGAAGAAGAAGAACAUGACUAGAGUAGGAAAAGAGAUUGAAUCAGGCUAAUUAUCUGUCAUCGAAGUUUGCUUUGCUUUUCUUUUCUUUUAUUUAGUUGUGCAAUUUUCAUCACAUUUACUUGAGUUUUAUUUGCCAAUUAAUUCACCUCCCCUCCAAGAGACUAAUAAAUUAAGUUGGAUGAUUCUAAUACGUUGAGUGGGCUGUAGACCACAAUAAACCUAAUGGCAACAGACCUAACAAUAGACCUAACGUAUAAGUAGGUUGAGUCAGAUUGAAACUUGUGAGAGGUGUGACAGAGCCCUUAAAUACGAUUGGCACGUCCUUCCUAUUAGGGCGUGUCUUUGUGAUAGUUGGUUAGCACUUGCAAUGUCACAACCCGACCAACUAACAAUAAUAAUUUAUUGGGUUCAAAUCAUCGGCCCAAAAUGCUUAAAUUCAGUUAUUAUUACUAGUGUGUCUGUCAUUUAUAAACCUAUCACACUUUCCCACUUUAGCUCAGUUAUUAUUAUUAGUGUGUUCAUCACUUAUAAACCUAUCACACUCUUUCACAUUAUUGGAUGUGGGAUUAAUGGUUAGCGCCAGCGAUCUGACAUUUGGUAUCAGAGCCUAUCGCUAUCCGGAAGUGUGAGAUGAGUGUUGACCGAGCCAUGGUCUGGGAACGACAAUGCUAGAGAGAUAAAUCUUACAUCGCCUAGUGAAUCUGGGGUUAUGUGUUUUAUUGGGUUGGGCUGACGAGGAUGAUAGGGCUUAAACGAUGGAGUAUGUGACACUCCAAUAAUCCCACAUCGGAUAAUGUGGGAGAGUGUGAUAUGCUUAUAAGUGAUGGACAAAUUAAUAAUAAUAAUGAGGUUUAAAUAUUUUCGGCUGGUGGUUUAGGUCUAACGAUUUAUUAUUACUAGUGGGUUAAGUUGUGAUAUUCAAUUUGCCUAAUUUUUGAAAAAAUAAUUUUGAUUUGAAGAAUUGCUUUUGAUUAAAAAGUUUAGAGUGUUUGGCUGAAUCUGGUAGAAAAGUAAUUUUUCUGAAGCGAUUUAAAAUUUAAAAUUAGAAUUAUAUUUUACAGAAUAGAUUAUCAAAUACGUACUCUAUUGAAGGAAAAAGACCUUUUGCCCGAAAAUUACUUUCUAAAAGGUAGACCGAACAACCUCUGCUCCCAAACAUCCAAGAGUUCAGAAACAAACUUCUUUUGGAUUUUUCUUUAAUAUAUAUAUAUAUACAAAGGAUAUAUAACGAUUGUGAGAAUAUUGAUUUUUGGUUGAGUAGGAUGUACAAUUUAUAUCAUUUUUUCUUUUUCUUUCUUUUGUUUUUUUAUUUGUGUGUGUACAGCCAGCAUUGCUCUUAAUUCUUAUACAUAAAAUCGAAGCCUUGAAAUUGACUGUAAUUGAGAUCAUGAUGUGAAGAUACUGAGUCCUAAUAUAUCUGUUCACAUGUAAGGACAUUAAGCAAACGCACUGAUUGAAGAGAUAAUGAAAGAAAAAAACGAAGCAAUAAUAAAUUAAAAAUAGGAAUAAUUUCAUCAAUACCCCUCUAGAAAAUCAUAAUUUCAUGAAUAACCCUCUAAACUAGAAAAUAUCAUCAAUACCCCUCUUAAAACUAAAAAUGUUCACAGAUACCCUUUAGGAUAACUUUCCGUCAAGUGGUCAUCCAAUAUUUUAUAAAUACCAAUUUUACCCCUAGCAAUAAUUUAAACAUGUAAUAUUUAAGAUUAAUUAUCUGAUUAAUUUUUAACAUUUGAAUCACAUUGUAAUUUAACAUUAUUUUUAAAAUAUUACAAUUAAAGAUCUAUAGUCUAUUAAGUGUAAUAGUUAAAUCUCAUUAUGAUUUUUCGCUUUUAAAUUAUACAUAGUUAUAAUACAAUUUGUCCAUAGUAGAAUUCAACAUUAACUAUUUAAAGAAAUAUGUAAUUUUUUGGAGUUGUUUUACGAGGAUCCAAACGCCCCCAGAUAAACUCAAAAUAAAGAAAAACUGAUAGUUUAAGUUAAAAAAUAAAACUUAAAGGGGUCUAGUUCAAAAUGAUCUAUAGGUGAGAAGUUCAUUUAUUUUUUUACCCGCUAAUAAUUAGUGUUAGAGAUAUUAUUUUUAAAAUUUAGAAGGGUACUUAUGAAAUUGCCCCUUAAUUAUUUGCUAUCAAAAUAACACCUAACCCUUUUAGGGUUAAAUUAGUCAUUUUGUAACUCAACCUUUAUUUAACCAAAUUUUAACCAUGGUUAUAGUAACAGCCGUUAGAAGGAAGGGUAGUUGUGAAAAUUUUUUGCAUUUGAAGGGGUAUAUAAGAUAUUUUCAACUUUGCAGGGGUAUCUAUGAUAUUUACAUAUUUGAGAGGGGUAGUGGUGAAAUUGCCCCUAUAUAUAUAUAUAUAUAUAUAGUCCGGCCGGGGUACUAUCGAUAGCACUAAGGAUUUGGUGCUAUUAAAUUUUUCACCGUUAGAUUUAAUCCUUUGAUUAUUUUUAUCCGUUAGAUUAUACUAUUCAACCAACCACUCACUCAACUCUUAGGGGUCCACAUCAUCCUAACCACCCAUUUUACAAUCCAAGGACUAAAAAAUCGAUAGCACCAAUAGCUUGGUGCUAUUGAUAGUAUUCCAGCCUAAUUCUAUAUAUAUAUACACGUGAAAUAUGAAACAACCGUAAUACUCUUAUUAGGCCCUGUUUGGUUCGGAAAAUAAGGGAUAACGAAAGUUAUCCCCGCUAUUCCGUGCUAUUCCGUCAAACGGUAUGAUUUUUUCACCGGAAUAUUUUAUUCUGAUCAAAUUUUGCUGUUCUCGCUUCCAGAAUAGCUUGAGAUUUACUAUUCUAUCAUUUUGGUGGAAUGGUGCUAUUUCAAUGUUUAAUUCCAAAGUUGAUUAAAAUUAUAAAUUGAAUUAAAACUAAAUUAUAUAAAUAUAAUAUGUUAUAUAUUAUAAUAUAUUAUUUUUAUUAUAAAAUUAUUAAUUGUACUAUAUUAAUACAUAUUUUUUUUAUUUAAAUAUUAUAAUAAAUUUUAUAAUAUAUUAUAUUUAAAUAUUGUAAUAAAUUAUUUUUAUUAAAUUUAAGUUUAAGUAGAAUUUCAAAAUAAUUUAUAAAAUUAUUANUAUU